Molecule: long non-coding RNA, 260 nt
Filed under: Sorghum bicolor (sorghum)
Lineage: Eukaryota; Viridiplantae; Streptophyta; Magnoliopsida; Poales; Poaceae
Description: long non-coding RNA (SBIC_LNC007929)
Source: RNAcentral
UUAAAGCAAUCAUCUAUACUGGAACCGGAGAAGUCCACAUGCACUUCCUCUCUAAGAAGGUACGCCGCUAUUUUACAGACAAAAAGAAGACGACGCAACCGCAACCAGAGGAGGCAAAUCAUCAAGGACGGAUGGGCAGACUACGAAGGAGAAGUGGUAAGGUCUGAAGACAUACAACUUGAACAGAAUUGUCCUGAGGAGACCAUAGCACCGAGUCAGGUGUGGAGAGAGAAGAUAGUUAUACACGAAGAGGAGGCGCC